AGUGAACGCUGGCGGUAGGCCUAACACAUGCAAGUCGAACGGCAGCACAGUAAGAGCUUGCUCUUACGGGUGGCGAGUGGCGGACGGGUGAGGAAUACAUCGGAAUCUACUUUUUCGUGGGGGAUAACGUAGGGAAACUUACGCUAAUACCGCAUACGACCUACGGGUGAAAGCAGGGGAGCUUCGGACCUUGCGCGAUUGAAUGAGCCGAUGUCGGAUUAGCUAGUUGGCGGGGUAAAGGCCCACCAAGGCGACGAUCCGUAGCUGGUCUGAGAGGAUGAUCGGCCACCCUGGAGGUGAGACACGGUCCUGGCUCCUACGGGAGGCAGCAGUGUGCAAUAUUGGACAAUGGGCGCGAGCCUGAUCCAGCCAUCCCGCGUGGGUGACGACGGCCUUCGGUUUGUAAAGCCCUUUUGUUGGGAAAGAAAAGCAGCAGGUUAAUACCCCGCUGUUCUGACGGUACCCAAAGAAUAAGCACCGGCUAACUUCGUG
RNAcentral lists this ribosomal RNA (492 nucleotides) under uncultured bacterium. RNAcentral describes it as "partial 16S ribosomal RNA". It matches the Rfam family "Bacterial small subunit ribosomal RNA", at positions 29 to 507 of the family's 1533-position model. The record is from RNAcentral.